This is a long non-coding RNA of Liolophura sinensis, 296 nucleotides long. RefSeq lists it as uncharacterized. The transcript is spliced from 3 exons. Lineage: Eukaryota; Metazoa; Mollusca; Polyplacophora; Chitonida; Chitonidae. The record is from RefSeq and is a predicted model, not a curated record.
GUAGAGAAAGCCACAAAUGAAAUGAAUACCCAGGAGGACUGGGCAGUGAUAAUGGAGGUGUGUGACAAGGUCACAAGGUCAUCAUCAGGUUCCAAAGACUGUCUGAGAUCCAUAGUGAAGAGAAUGAACCAUCGUGUCCCUCACGUCUCCAUGCAGGCUCUGACGCUGUUGGAUGCCUGUGUGAAGAAUUGUGGCAGGAACUUCCACCUGGAGAUUUGUUCUCGUGACUUCGUCGGGGAGUGCAGGAGUUUGAUAGGACAGAAGGUCAUUUUUUUUCUCUUUUUUUGUUAUCAAGG